RNAcentral lists this transfer RNA (66 nucleotides) under Abscondita chinensis. RNAcentral describes it as "tRNA-Asn". The record is from RNAcentral. Lineage: Eukaryota; Metazoa; Arthropoda; Insecta; Coleoptera; Lampyridae.
UUAAAUGAAAACCAAAAUAGAGGUUUAUCACUGUUAAUGAUAAAAAUGAAUUUAAUUCCAUUUAAA